UACAUCGCAAAACCCUACCUUGGCAGC
RNAcentral lists this non-coding RNA (27 nucleotides) under Mus musculus (house mouse). The record is from RNAcentral. Lineage: Eukaryota; Metazoa; Chordata; Mammalia; Rodentia; Muridae.